This 733-nucleotide ribosomal RNA is filed under the name Ctenipocoris sp. Colombia RWS-2021a. Its description in RNAcentral is "SSU rRNA". It matches the Rfam family "Eukaryotic small subunit ribosomal RNA", at positions 422 to 1079 of the family's 1831-position model. The record is from RNAcentral. RNAcentral also lists the same sequence under 1 other name. Lineage: Eukaryota; Metazoa; Arthropoda; Insecta; Hemiptera; Naucoridae.
AAGGCAGCAGGCACGCAAAUUACCCACUCCCGGCACGGGGAGGUAGUGACAAAAAAUAACGAUACGGGACUCAUCCGAGGCCCCGUAAUCGGAAUGAGUACACUUUAAAUCCUUUAACAAGGAUCCAAUGGAGGGCAAGUCUGGUGCCAGCAGCCGCGGUAAUUCCAGCUCCAUUAGCGUAUAUUAAAGUUGUUGCGGUUAAAAAGCUCGUAGUUGGUUCUGUGUCCCACGCUGUCGGUUCACCGCCUGCCGGUGCAACUGGCAUGCCGUGGGAUGUCCUGUCGGUGGCGGCCGUGACCCACGGCGGGUGUAGGUUCAUGCCGAAGCUCGCCGAUGCGUGUCAGGCCGCCGAUUCAAUCCUGCCGCGGUGCUCUUUACUGAGUGUCGAGGUAGGCCGACACGUUUACUUUGAACAAAUUAGAGUGCUCAAAGCAGGCUGAAUUCCGCCUGGAUACUGGUGCAUGGAAUAAUGGAAUAGGACCUCGGUUCUAUUUUGUUGGUUUCCGGAAUCCGAGGUAAUGAUCAAUAUGGACAGGCGGGGGCAUUCGUAUUGCGACGUUAGAGGUGAAAUUCUUGGAUCGUCGCAAGACGGACUAGAGCGAAAGCAUUUGCCAAGUAUGUCUUAGUUGAUCAAGAACGAAAGUUAGAGGUUCGAAGGCGAUCAGAUACCGCCCUAGUUCUAACCAUAAACGAUGCCAGCCAGCGAUCCGCCGAUGUUCCUCCGAUGACUCGG